RNAcentral lists this long non-coding RNA (1132 nucleotides) under Numida meleagris (helmeted guineafowl). RNAcentral's name for it is "lncRNA (ENSNMEG00000004047.1)". Lineage: Eukaryota; Metazoa; Chordata; Aves; Galliformes; Numididae. The record is from RNAcentral.
GAGGAGCUCGCAGAGAACACGGAAGGGCAGAAGGAAGAGAUCGGGGCACAGAAGGCUGAGGCCUGCUCAGCAUCAUCUCUGGGGAGGGAGGCGGAGGUUUGCAUGGGAACUGCUGAGUCGGGGCCUGAAGCACUGAUUGAGCACCUGGAGGGAAGUCCCUGUGAGCACAGGUGAAGGCAAUUCACUGUGUGACCAGAAGGGGAGGAGCCUGGCUGCACCCCUCUUCAGGCUCAUUUAAGGGCUGACUGCCAGUGAGGAAGGAUCUCUUUCUGGAGCUUCCUCCUUGGUGGAGGCCUUCCCCUGCAAACCCAAAAUCUUUGGAUACAGGUGGGUGAUGUGCUUCCCUUCCCUUGCAGCACUGUGCUGUUGCGCUGCUGCUUGCACCUCUUUUCUAACACGAUUUCCAUGGCACUGGGCCUUCUGAUCGCUACCAUAUUUAACAGGAGUUUUGGAGUUUGUCAGCAGCAAAAAGGAGACCAAGGAAUGCAGGGGUGCCAACCGCCUUCUCUUCUUCAGCGGGCACAGCGGAGAGCGCUCCUCAGGGAUCCCGGAGGAGGUGGUAAGGGACGAUGUAGGUGAAAUGUGUGUCUGCAAGUCCCUUGGUCCUAAUGGGAUACAGGUGUGUGUGCUGAGGAGACAGCCCAACAGCUGUCUGUGACUUUGUCUGAUCUGUGCUAUAGGAAAUGUGUCUGAGGACCAGAGGACAGCCAGCGUGGGCGCAGCCUUCAAACAGGGCGUGAAGCACGGCGUCCCCUCGAUCCCCAGGGAGAUGAGGGAACAACUUGUUCUAGGUGUCACAUCCUGGCCCGGGGAAGAGAAGAAAAUAGUCCGGGGCAGUCGAGGCGGAUCCAGCUGGACCGAGCCGGUAGCAUUGUGCAGGAGUCUCGCUGAUGGGAGCCAUAUGGCAUUCACGGAUGGGAACACCGGCAGGAAGAAGGAUUGGACUGUGAGUGACGGAGCGGUUGCAGCGUCCCCUUGGCUGGGGCUGCAGAAGUUGGGUCUGGAGGCUUUCCCAGGUGAGGCGCCCUAGGGAGCGGGCCCUUCCCCUCCCUCUGGCUGAGUUGUUUUGUUUUUGUUUCAGGGUGCUCUGCAACUGGAGGGCCGCCAGCCCCAGCAGGUCCCCGAGCUCUUU